GACGAACGCUGGCGGCGUGCCUAAUACAUGCAAGUCGAACGCUGAAGGAGGAGCUUGCUUCUCUGGAUGAGUUGCGAACGGGUGAGUAACGCGUAGGUAACCUGCCUGGUAGCGGGGGAUAACUAUUGGAAACGAUAGCUAAUACCGCAUAAUAGCAGUUAUUGCAUGAUAACUGUUUGAAAGGUGCAAUUGCACCACUACCAGAUGGACCUGCGUUGUAUUAGCUAGUUGGUGGGGUAACGGCUCACCAAGGCGACGAUACAUAGCCGACCUGAGAGGGUGAUCGGCCACACUGGGACUGAGACACGGCCCAGACUCCUACGGGAGGCAGCAGUAGGGAAUCUUCGGCAAUGGACGGAAGUCUGACCGAGCAACGCCGCGUGAGUGAAGAAGGGUUUCGGAUCGUAAAGCUCGGUUGUAAGAGAAGAACGAGUGUGAGAGUGGAAAGUUCACACUGUGACGGUAUCUUACCAGAAAGGGACGGCUAACUACGUG
This 495-nucleotide ribosomal RNA is filed under the name uncultured bacterium. RNAcentral describes it as "partial 16S ribosomal RNA". It matches the Rfam family "Bacterial small subunit ribosomal RNA", at positions 28 to 507 of the family's 1533-position model. The record is from RNAcentral.